Molecule: ribosomal RNA, 253 nt
Filed under: uncultured bacterium
Lineage: Bacteria
Description: partial 16S ribosomal RNA
Rfam family: Bacterial small subunit ribosomal RNA
Source: RNAcentral
UACGUAGGGGGCAAGCGUUGUCCGGAUUUAUUGGGCGUAAAGAGCGUGUAGGCGGCCUGGCAAGUCCGCUGUGAAAACUCGAGGCUCAACCUCGAGACGUCGGUGGAAACUGCCUGGCUAGAGUCCGGAAGAGGAGAGUGGAAUUCCUGGUGUAGCGGUGAAAUGCGCAGAUAUCAGGAAGAACACCCGUGGCUAAGGCGGCUCUCUAGUACGGUACUGACGCUGAGACGCGAAAGCGUGGGGAGCAAACAGG